AUGCUCAUAAAUCAGUUAUAGUUUAUUUGAUAGUACCUUCUACCUGGAUAACCGUGGUAAUUCUAGAGCUAAUACAUGCCAAAAACCUCGACUCACGAAGAGGUGUAUUUAUUAGAUAAAAAACCAAUGCCCUCCGGGGCUCAGUGGUGAUUCAUGAUAACUUAACGAAUCGCAUGGCCUUGCGCCGGCGAUGGUUCAUUCAAAUUUCUGCCCUAUCAACUUUCGAUGGUAGGAUAGUGGCCUACCAUGGUUUCAACGGGUAACGGGGAAUUAGGGUUCGAUUCCGGAGAGGGAGCCUGAGAAACGGCUACCACAUCCAAGGAAGGCAGCAGGCGCGCAAAUUACCCAAUUCUGACACAGAGAGGUAGUGACGAUAAAUACCGAUACAGGGCUCUUUCGGGUCUUGUAAUUGGAAUGAGUACAAUCUAAACCCCUUAACGAGGAACAAUUGGAGGGCAAGUCUGGUGCCAGCAGCCGCGGUAAUUCCAGCUCCAAUAGCGUAUAUUAAAGUUGUUGCAGUUAAAAAGCUCGUAGUUGAACCUUGGGCCUGGCCGAUCUGUCUUCCUAACCGUUGUACGGAUUCGGUCGGGCCUUUCCUUCUGGGGAGCCCCAUGUCCUUCACUGGGCGUGGUGGGGAACCAGGACUUUUACCUUGAAAAAAUUAGAGUGUUCAAAGCAGGCCUUUGCUCGAAUACAUUAGCAUGGAAUAAUGGAAUAGGACAGCAGUUCUAUUUUGUUGGUUUCUAGGACCGCUGUAAUGAUUAAUAGGGGUAGUCGGGGGCGUCAGUAUUCAAUUGUCAGAGGUGAAAUUCUUGGAUUUAUUGAAGACUAACUACUGCGAAAGCAUUCGCCAAGGAUGUUUUCAUUAAUCAGUGAACGAAAGUUAGGGGAUCGAAGACGAUCAGAUACCGUCGUAGUCUUAACCAUAAACUAUGCCGACUAGGGAUUGGACGGUGUUUCUUUUAUGACCCGUUCAGCACCUUACGAGAAAUCAAAGUUUUUGGGCUCUGGGGGGAGUACGGUCGCAAGGCUGAAACUUAAAGAAAUUGACGGAAGGGCACCACA
RNAcentral lists this ribosomal RNA (1065 nucleotides) under Mastodia sp. Its description in RNAcentral is "SSU rRNA". It matches the Rfam family "Eukaryotic small subunit ribosomal RNA", at positions 94 to 1171 of the family's 1831-position model. Lineage: Eukaryota; Fungi; Ascomycota; Eurotiomycetes; Verrucariales; Verrucariaceae. The record is from RNAcentral.